ACUUCUCAGUACAGAACGAAUGGCUAUCUUGGAUAGGUAAGAAUUGGAGGGAAAAAAUUGUAGAUUUGGCAACAUCUGGACCAGCUUGAUCUCUGCAGGAUCCAGAUCAACAAUCUCACAUAA
This 123-nucleotide small nucleolar RNA is filed under the name Octodon degus (degu). RNAcentral's name for it is "Small nucleolar RNA SNORA38 (ENSODEG00000024058.1)". Lineage: Eukaryota; Metazoa; Chordata; Mammalia; Rodentia; Octodontidae. The record is from RNAcentral.